GGGGUUGUGGCUCAGCGGUAGAGCCCUCACCUAGCAUGUGCAGAGCCUUGGGUUCGAUCCUCAGAACCACA
Molecule: transfer RNA, 71 nt
Filed under: Marmota monax (woodchuck)
Lineage: Eukaryota; Metazoa; Chordata; Mammalia; Rodentia; Sciuridae
Description: tRNA.Ala
Source: RNAcentral